Molecule: non-coding RNA, 22 nt
Filed under: Mus musculus (house mouse)
Lineage: Eukaryota; Metazoa; Chordata; Mammalia; Rodentia; Muridae
Source: miRBase by way of RNAcentral
UAGUAGAUACUCAUGGGAGAGC